This is a small nucleolar RNA of Suncus etruscus (white-toothed pygmy shrew), 133 nucleotides long. RefSeq annotates it as small nucleolar RNA SNORA51. Lineage: Eukaryota; Metazoa; Chordata; Mammalia; Eulipotyphla; Soricidae. The record is from RefSeq and is a predicted model, not a curated record. The transcript has a single exon.
GGUAUCCCAUUGCUAACAUAGACUGUGUUUCUACACCAACUGUUAUAGAAAGAGGAGGAACAGUAAAUGUAACUCCAUACACACCUCAGCCCAGACCCUUUGCUUGGUCUAUAUUGUGAAUGGAGGGACAUGA